UUCCGUAGGUGACCUGCGGAAGGAUCAUUACCGAGUGCGGGUCCUUUGGGCCCAACCUCCCAUCCGUGUCUAUUAUACCCUGUUGCUUCGGCGGGCCCGCCGCUUGUCGGCCGCCGGGGGGGCGCCUUUGCCCCCCGGGCCCGUGCCCGCCGGAGACCCCAACACGAACACUGUCUGAAAGCGUGCAGUCUGAGUUGAUUGAAUGCAAUCAGUUAAAACUUUCAACAAUGGAUCUCUUGGUUCCGGCAUCGAUGAAGAACGCAGCGAAAUGCGAUAACUAAUGUGAAUUGCAGAAUUCAGUGAAUCAUCGAGUCUUUGAACGCACAUUGCGCCCCCUGGUAUUCCGGGGGGCAUGCCUGUCCGAGCGUCAUUGCUGCCCUCAAGCCCGGCUUGUGUGUUGGGUCGCCGUCCCCCUCUCCGGGGGGACGGGCCCGAAAGGCAGCGGCGGCACCGCGUCCGAUCCUCGAGCGUAUGGGGCUUUGUCACAUGCUCUGUAGGAUUGGCCGGCGCCUGCCGACGUUUUCCAACCAUUUUUUCCAGGUUGACCUCGGAUCAGGUAGGGAUACCCGCUGAACUUAAGCAUAUCAAUAAGCGGAGGAAAAGAAACCAACCGGGAUUGCCUCAGUAACGGCGAGUGAAGCGGCAAGAGCUCAAAUUUGAAAGCUGGCUCCUUCGGAGUCCGCAUUGUAAUUUGCAGAGGAUGCUUUGGGUGCGGCCCCCGUCUAAGUGCCCUGGAACGGGCCGUCAGAGAGGGUGAGAAUCCCGUCUUGGGCGGGGUGUCCGUGCCCGUGUAAAGCUCCUUCGACGAGUCGAGUUGUUUGGGAAUGCAGCUCUAAAUGGGUGGUAAAUUUCAUCUAAAGCUAAAUACUGGCCGGAGACCGAUAGCGCACAAGUAGAGUGAUCGAAAGAUGAAAAGCACUUUGAAAAGAGAGUUAAACAGCACGUGAAAUUGUUGAAAGGGAAGCGCUUGCGACCAGACUCGCCCGCGGGGUUCAGCCGGCAUUCGUGCCGGUGUACUUCCCCGUGGGCGGGCCAGCGUCGGUUUGGGCGGCCGGUCAAAGGCCCCUGGAAUGUAGUACCCUCCGGGGUACCUUAUAGCCAGGGGUGCAAUGCGGCCAGCCUGGACCGAGGAACGCGCUUCGGCACGACGC
This 1151-nucleotide ribosomal RNA is filed under the name Aspergillus tubingensis. RNAcentral's name for it is "eukaryotic LSU rRNA". The stretch from base 543 to 1151 matches the Rfam family "Eukaryotic large subunit ribosomal RNA", at positions 1 to 626 of the family's 3401-position model. The record is from RNAcentral. Lineage: Eukaryota; Fungi; Ascomycota; Eurotiomycetes; Eurotiales; Aspergillaceae.